RNAcentral lists this ribosomal RNA (253 nucleotides) under uncultured bacterium. RNAcentral's name for it is "partial 16S ribosomal RNA". It matches the Rfam family "Bacterial small subunit ribosomal RNA", at positions 524 to 776 of the family's 1533-position model. The record is from RNAcentral.
UACGGAGGGUGCAAGCGUUGUUCGGAAUCAUUGGGCGUAAAGCGCGUGUAGGUGGCUUGGCAAGUCGGGUGUGAAAUCCCGGGGCCCAACCCCGGAACUGCAUUCGAAACUGCCUCGCUAGAGUCCCGGAGAGGAAGGCGGAAUUCCCGGUGUAGAGGUGAAAUUCGUAGAUAUCGGGAGGAACACCAGCGGCGAAGGCGGCCUUCUGGACGGUGACUGGCGCUGAGACGCGAAAGCGUGGGGAGCAAACAGG